RNAcentral lists this long non-coding RNA (823 nucleotides) under Salmo salar (Atlantic salmon). Its description in RNAcentral is "lncRNA (ENSSSAG00000113193.1, ENSSSAG00000118336.1)". Lineage: Eukaryota; Metazoa; Chordata; Actinopteri; Salmoniformes; Salmonidae. The record is from RNAcentral.
CGCAGGGGAGUGGGGGCGUGGCAUUUUUUUGAGGAAAAAAAGCUAAACAAUCUUUAAUAUUUCAAAUUGACUGUGUCGGCUUUUUAAGUUGUCUCGGCUGGUGGAGAAGUCCAUACCUUAGAAUAGUGGUAACACACGGGGAUCCACUCAAGACAGGCCUGAAUGUAUUUUCUUCCAAAUUUCUGGACGAAAAGGUAUAGAAAGCGGGUAAUCUUUCUUUAGUCACCACUCCGGUCAGACGAUGAAUUCUAAACGUUUGCUUGACAUGUCUCCGGCUGAAAUACUGGUCGGGGGCGCUUCGAAACAAGCCGGUAUUGACCAGCAUGCAGAGGGUUCCAAGGGAAGCGAAAUGAGUGUCACCACUACUGACAGCGGUGUCAUUCUGGCGUGCGGGAGCGGGCCCGCAUCAGGAGCAGUUUUCUGCACAUUCGUGCUAGACGAUGGCACUUUGAGAGAAUGUACAAACCAGGACAUUAUCCUCAAUGGGAAUGACCUGUCGUCAGGGAAAGAAAAAUACGCGCACCGGAAAAUAAUGGGUUGUGGUGGCGAGGCAGAUGAGAGGAACAGUGGUCUGACUGGGGUCCUUACUAACGGCAGUCCCACUCACUGCCUGAUCCUGAACGGGCAGAAGCCGGACAGACACAUGCACUCGAAAGUGAGGAAUCCGCUGGUGCCCGAUGGUUUCCAGGAAACCGGACAUCAAGUGCCACCUGAGGAGAGAAAUUCCCACCCCUCCUCCCACAUACCUGUCCCCCGACGCAGACCUAUCUGCUGCCUUUGAUACUGUGAACCAUCAGAUCGUCCUCUCCACCCUCUCCGAGUU